UGAUAAAAUCAUAAUGUUGCCUUUUCUGUCACCUUAAACCUAAAGCCCAGGCAUAUUUACCAUUCAUUUAGAAGCUGGCACCUCCCUGGCAUUGAUUUUGGCAUUGGCACAGGGAUAAAAGCAGCUGUGUCGUGCUACCAGGUCGGGUGAGGAGCAAACAAGAGCAGUUCCAUCUCCCAGGCUGCAGCCAUGCCCCAUUCCCACACGGCCAUCCUUGGGCGGGGACGGCUGAAACCGCUCCAUGCCAUUCCUCUUCAUGUUUUUUAUGGAAUAUUCUGAUGUGGCCAUCCUUGCACCACCACCAAAGAUAAACCCUGCUGAGGUAGGAGUCAGCAAAGCAAAGCAGCCCUGUGCCGGGGCUGAGGUUUCCAGGGAGCAGGAGGGCUCUGGCAGCCGAAGGCCGGAGCUGUUCCAGCGCUCCGAAGCUCCGGCCGUGCCCGUGAUGUGUUCAGCUGUCACCGUGCCAGCGUGGGACAUAAACAACUCAGCACAACACUUUGAAUAGUGGGAUUUGCUGGUUGCAAACAGCACAAAAAGCAGGGAACAAUGGAACUCUGUCCAUAAUGCAGAUAAAAUACCUACUCUGAGGAGAGCCUCAGAGAGAGCAAAAACUGUUUAAAGGGGGGGAAAAAAAACCCCAUGAAAGCUUUGCUUGCAUUUCCAGCUGGCAGAGAGGGCUUGUUUAAUUUAGUGGUGUUUACUUAGGUUUGGUAAAAUACAUCUUUAAAUUCGGAAGGCCAGUGGAAAAUACCUUAAUGAUGAGCAGUCUUCACCAAAAGCCUAAGAAAUUGUAGUUGGGUUGUGUGCCGUGCAAAUCAGGCCUCAAGGAAAGGAAAUAUUAUCACAGCUACCAAAAUAAGGUGGUUUGUGAAUAGGAUUCCUGACAACUUACUCAAUAUUUCAGUUCUGAUCCAAGAAGAAAAUACUUGCUAUUAAAUACGUGAUUUUUUUUUGUCAAGCAAUUGUUAGGUUAAAAUAAAUCUAUUUACUUAUCUUUAAGUAAAAACCUCCAAAGAAAAGAUAAAAUCAUAUGACUCUGUUUCCUGUGAUUGUUUCCUUACUUUCUUUUCCAUUUUCAUUGGAAGGGAGCAAAAGACACUGAGAAAAUGGCAUUUUUUUUUUUUUGUAGAGGUUGUGGCAUUCAUGCAAGAGGUAAGAAAGCUGUAAUUGAGAUUAAUUGCUAGCAAAUGCUUGUUUAAAAAAAAAAACCAGUUUCAACCACAGGUAACAGACAUACAUCACUCCAAAGUGUCCUCUAAUUCAGUAAUUCAGCUAGGAAAUAGCAGGUAGGAAAAGCAGGUUUCAGUUUUUGAGGUAAAGGAGAGAAAUCUCUCAAAUUUCCACAGCUGGGGGAAGAAUUUAUCUUGUACCCUGUUGAGAUGCCGCUUCACUUCUGUGUCUACAAAUUUGGGGAUCUUUUGUCAAUCUUUUCUCCCCCAAAAUGCAACCUGAAAAAUUCAGCCCCAAUUCACAUAAAAUUUCAGCAUUUUAAUUGUACAUCCAUAAACUACCAUAAAUAUUUGUUAUUUUCACCAGUUGCUGCUGGACUAUUUAUAAAGAAGAAUUUAAUUUAA
Cyanistes caeruleus (blue tit) is the source of this 1574-nucleotide long non-coding RNA. RefSeq lists it as uncharacterized. The record is from RefSeq and is a predicted model, not a curated record. Lineage: Eukaryota; Metazoa; Chordata; Aves; Passeriformes; Paridae.